RNAcentral lists this transfer RNA (65 nucleotides) under Capsala pricei. RNAcentral describes it as "tRNA-Phe". Lineage: Eukaryota; Metazoa; Platyhelminthes; Monogenea; Capsalidea; Capsalidae. The record is from RNAcentral.
UUUUCUUUAGCUUAAUCCUUAGAGCACUAGUUUGAAGCACUAGGGGUACCAUACGGUAGGAGAAA